GAUGAAGAACGCAGCGAAAUGCGAUACGUAAUGUGAAUUGCAGAAUUCAGUGAAUCAUCGAAUCUUUGAACGCAUAUUGCGCUCUCUGGUAUUCCGGAGAGCAUGCUUGUUUGAGUAUCAGUAAACACCUCAACUUCCAUAUCUUUUUUGAAAUGGGAGUUGGACUUGAGUGAUCCCAACGCUUUUCCUCACCGAAAAGUGGCGGGUUACUUGAAAUGCAGGUGCAGCUGGACUUUUCUCUGAGCUAUAAGCAUAUCUAUUUAGUCUGCCUAAAAACAGAUUAUUACCUUUGCUGCAGCUAACAUAAAGGAGAUUAGUUCUUGUGCUGACUGAUGCAGGAUUCACAAAGACAGGCUUCGGCCGACUUUGUAAACUCGAUCUCAAAUCAAGUAAGACUACCCGCUGAACUUAAACAUAUCAAUAAGCGGAGGA
RNAcentral lists this unclassified non-coding RNA (432 nucleotides) under soil metagenome. RNAcentral's name for it is "partial contains 5.8S ribosomal RNA, internal transcribed spacer 2, and large subunit ribosomal RNA". The stretch from base 1 to 120 matches the Rfam family "5.8S ribosomal RNA", at positions 35 to 154 of the family's 154-position model. The record is from RNAcentral.